GAAAAGCCUUUGUUCCACCGCUCCCGCUAAGGCCCACGGAAAGCCUUCGUUCCACCGCUCCGGCUAGCCGCACUUGUCGCCAUCUCUCACAGUAGCAUCAGUUCUCUCACAGUAGCAUCAGUAGUACUGGCUGAAAAAGAAAUGGAAGGAAAAGUUAUGGAAGGCGUUGCUUCAGUAGCACUAAUGGAUAACGGGUGUAUUUCCGGUCACUUUAUUCACCUUCCUCAUUCUAUCUGUUAUGGCAUACAUGGAACUGAGAUGGUUUGUGAAAGGGAAUGCAGUAGGGGUGAGGAUUACCGUUUGGUGAAACUUACAAUCAUUGACUACAAUAGAAAAAGAGAAAGGGAUGUUAUUGUGGAGUGCAGAGGACAUGAUGCUGCUAGGAUUCAGAAUGUUCAACAUGCCCAUGGAUGGGAUGAUGAUGUUGUCAAUAUGCUUGACGAGAAGGAACAAAAGCACAAGAUUCUUGUUUCUUUCGAGUGUGAGACACUGAAAGGAGGUAAAGAAGCUGAGGACCAUAUCAACAAAUUCAUGCCCAAAUUAGCUGGGACAGAUGCUGUUGUUAACAUUGGCAAGAUGACGAUUGUAGGCUUGGACUUCGAAGAUGCAACUGGUGAUGAAGAUAAUAACCAGCAGAAUAUUUGAGCUGCAGCUCAGCUGCAGUAUCUUGUGUCUUUUGGGCAAUUGACUUCAACAAUUGUUUCAGAAUAUAAAUUGGGAUGUAUUAUAUAGUUACUCAUGCAGUUUUUAGCUUAUUAUCUUGGCAUUAUGUUAUCU
This 777-nucleotide unclassified non-coding RNA is filed under the name Hevea brasiliensis (rubber tree). The record is from RNAcentral. Lineage: Eukaryota; Viridiplantae; Streptophyta; Magnoliopsida; Malpighiales; Euphorbiaceae.